This 1990-nucleotide long non-coding RNA is filed under the name Homo sapiens (human). RNAcentral describes it as "HSALNT0370045". The stretch from base 1076 to 1278 matches the Rfam family "Rhabdomyosarcoma 2 associated transcript conserved region 6". The record is from RNAcentral. Lineage: Eukaryota; Metazoa; Chordata; Mammalia; Primates; Hominidae.
UUUAUCUGUAUCAUCUCCAUUUAUUUCUCAGGGGUGAUGAGAAGACUUUGCAUUUGACCAAAAAGCACUAGUAAAUAAGGAGUUAAAAUGAAGGCAGGCUCGCUGGUUUGCUGAGAUCUGUCAGAGUCUGACUGGCUGGCUACAUAUCUGUCUCUGGAACAAUAGGUACCUGUAUUCUGCACGGACUGCUGGGCAGCACUAGCACUCUGGAGAAGGUCUGCCGCUGUCUGCACUUUCCUGGUUCUAUGCAGGCAGAUGAGUGUCACAGCUGUAACUGAGGCACAGAGCAGUACACACAGUGGAGCCGAUUUCCGCGAUGGCGAGAGGGGGCACCGGAGGUGACAACAAUAACAAGACUGUCCUUCGGACAAGUUUUAGAUUCUCAGGAUGAUGGAGUGAGUGAUGGAAUAGGUUGCCAACUGUAGUUACUCCACUCAGCACAGAAUGGCUGCGGGGAAAUAUAAUCAGACAUGCCCAAAGAAGUCUGCUUAGGGUGAAACAAAUACCUUUGAGGUUUAAAUCAGAAAGGAAGGAGAGACUGUUUCUACAGGUGUCAUACAAAAAUCAAUACUGAGCCAAGGAUUAUUGGAUCCCAUAGAACCACGGAGACUUGGUAGUGAAAUUCUUCCAAAGCAUUCCAUCCGUGCAGGCAGAUGGUGUUCCUAGGUUUGGAAAUAUAAAUCCCAUGGGAAGUCAGCUGAAGACCAUUUUAUGCAUCACUCAUCCUGUUAGAGCCCUGUGCUGUUCUGUCUCUCUAUAAGACUGGCUGAAACCACCACGGUUGUUUACAAUUUAUGCUCUAACUUUGGAUCACCUAGUUAAUACUCUAACUCCGAUUAUUACCAAAGACAAUGUUCUAUAAAAGAUAUUGUCUAUUAGAAGGAUGCUUCUGCAUUAUUAAUAAAAUCACAGGGAAAAUGCAACAUUUUGGAUGUCACAUCUGAUAAGUUGGCAGUUAAAGAACAGAAACAGCAAUAAGACUGCGUGGCUACAUUUUCCCAGUGCCACCAACUGGGAUUUAAGCUGACUAACAUUUUGAAAGCCCAGCCCAUUUCAUUCACAGCAGGAUGGCAGUGGGUGACUGAUCGUACCCGCCAGCUGGCUAAUGUCAUAAUUAACAAAGUUGCUACUACAUCUGCAAAGUUUAAUCGAAAAAUUUGCCAGUGAUAUGAUGGCCUUGUCACAGAGAUCACAAGGGACACGGAGUUGACUUUUGCUCAAGGUGGAACGACAGAGCUGUGUAGGCAAGAUGAGAAAUUGCGAACUUGUUCGGCCAAAGGAGGCUAAUAAUGAAGGGGCCGGGAAGGAGGCCAGUGCUACCAGGGUUAUCUCACAACCUCAGAUGCUGGAUAAGUCGACGGAGGCAGAAUCGCUUUGGGAUGACAUUCAGAAAGCCUGGAGUGAUUACUUGCAAGAGAAAAGCCUACCUAUUCUUUCCAAGGUGCAGGAAUAUUCCCCUGACCUGCUCAUCCAGUGGUCCAGUAAUGAAUUACUGGAGACCUGCCUUAGACAAAGAAUGCACUCGGAGCCCCAACACACCUAAAGCCAUGCUUUGAAGGAUCUGCCAAGCUCACUUUUAAUCAUGAGAAAGAAAUUACCCACACGGAGUCAGCAGAAAAUGAGAAAGUAGAGCUCGUGCUGUGAAUAAUUCCAGCAAGUGCCAAGGGGCUAGUUGAGGAAUGGCUUCAUGAGAUGUUAGUCUAAAACAGCACCUUGGAUCUAAGCAGCACCUUUGAGAAAGAAAAGACUGCUUCAAGAAUGUCUAGUUGCACCUCCUUUCCGUAUGUGGCCUAAAUGCCUAGGUUGGAUCAAUAGUUUAAUUUUUUUAUUGAACUGUUUAAUAUUGACUAUGGACUUACAUUCACUUUUACUGUUUUCUGUAUAUUUACUUUUGCUUGAAGUGUUUUAAUAUUGACUAUUUACCUCUGCUCAUUUUUAUUGAUUUUCUGUAUUUUUUCAAUGAAAAUUAUAAUAAAAAUUAUUUUUGUUA